UACGAAGGGGGCUAGCGUUGCUCGGAAUUACUGGGCGUAAAGCGCACGUAGGCGGCUUGUUAAGUCAGGGGUGAAAUCCUGGAGCUCAACUCCAGAACUGCCUUUGAUACUGGCGAGCUUGAGUUCGGGAGAGGUGAGUGGGAACUGCGAGUGUAGAGGUGAAAUUCGUAGAUAUUCGCAAGAACACCAGUGGCGAAGGCGGCUCACUGGCCCGAUACUGACGCUGAGGUGCGAAAGCGUGGGGAGCAAACAGGG
Molecule: ribosomal RNA, 255 nt
Filed under: uncultured bacterium
Lineage: Bacteria
Description: partial 16S ribosomal RNA
Rfam family: Bacterial small subunit ribosomal RNA
Source: RNAcentral